Molecule: long non-coding RNA, 10355 nt
Organism: Equus caballus (horse)
Lineage: Eukaryota; Metazoa; Chordata; Mammalia; Perissodactyla; Equidae
Source: Ensembl
AGCAGAAUGCAGAGUCAGAGCAGGGGAGACAAACGAUCUGUUAUUGUACAGAGGAGGAAAAUGAGACUCAGAGAUGCUGAGGACCCAGCUCCUUGGUGGCAAAGCCGGUCUGAAAGCUCGGUCUCUAACCCUGAACUCUUUGAGAUUCUCUGGAGGGUUCUGUGUUUGUUUCUACGGCUGCUUCAACCACAAACAGCACACAUUUAUUUCCUUACGGAUCUGGAGGUCAGAAGUCUCAAGUGGUCUGCAGGGCUGUGUUCCUUCCGGAGGCGCUGGGGACAAUCUGUUUCUGUGCCUUUUCCAGCUUCCAGAGGCCACCCACAUCUUUUUGUUCACGACUCCCUUCCUCCAUCUUCAAAACCUGCAAAGCAGCAUCUUCAAACCUCUCUCUCUCUCCCUCUGCGUCCUUCUGUCAGACUCUGACCCUCUGCAUCCCUCUUAGAAGGGCCUUGUGAUGACAUCAGUCCCACCAGGAUAACCCAGGAUAAUCUCUCCAUCUCAAGAUCCUUACCUCGAUCACAUCUGCGAAGUCCCAUCUGCCUUAUAAGAUUUGUGGACCAGCUGGGGUUCAGUUGAUCUAAGUUACGCUCUGCUCCAAGCUGCAAGCUGGGUUCAGUGAUGUGAGGAUCUCCUCUGAAGAGGAAAGCGAGGUGUGACACAGUGUGCUUGGCAUUGGAGAAGGAAAAUGGGGAAGAACCCACAGAGCCCUGAGCUACCUGCUGCCAAUCCUCUUUUUGCUGAGGAAGACUGGCCCUGAGCUAACAUCCGUGUGCAUCCUCCUCUACUUUAUACGAGGGAUGUCUGCUACAGCAUGGCUUGCCAAGCGGUGCCAUGUCCACAUCCAGGAUCCAAGCCAGUGAACCCCGGGCCGCCGAAGCGGAACAUGCGCACCUAACUGCUGAGCCACCGGGCUGGCCCUUACUGGGGAUUUUUAAAACUUAAAUUCCGUGUUCUCAUUUUAAUUAGACAGUCAGUAACUCUGUGAGGUCAAGAAAACCUUUCUUCCACUGUCCUACUCUGAUGUGGUCAACACUGGAGACUUAGAAACCAGUCUCCUCUGCCUCCCACAGUUACCAGCAUGGAAAUAUGACCACAAUAAAUCGGCAAGAGGGAAUAAAAAGUGAUUCACCAAUCAUUACAUACAAUAUAAUCACACUUUUAUAAAAGGAUAAAAAAGUUUAUCCCCAUGUGUAUAGAAAAAUGUCCAGAAAAGCACGCAUUAAAGGGUCAAGAGGGUUGUUCUGAGUGGUGGGUGUAGACUUCCAUUUACCUUGCCACUAUUUUACUAAAAUGUAUUAAAUUCUCACCCUAAAUCUGAGACACUCUGCUAGACACCCACACUUUUCGGUUUUAUCUAGUAAUUUGCUCUAUGCGUCUUUCCUUACGAUUAGCUUGUAUUUUUUUAAUCAGAGCAGGAAAAGGGGGAGCUGUCUCUUCAUUGACAAAUGAAGUACUUAGCACAUAGUACUUAGAACCUGGUGGGUGCUAGGUAAUGGUGGCCAUUACUUUACCAUUCUGUGAAUCUUGGGUCUUCAUCUGCCGUAACUUCUUGAGCAACCAUUGUGACAACAGCAGCAAUGACAGCAAGUAUUUAUAUAGAGUGUUGAUUACGUGCCACGCUGUUCUGAUAUCCAUCGCAUGUGGGCCUCACGAGAGCUAUGAGGUGACUAUUAUUCCCAUUUUACACAUCAGAAAAUGGAGGCAGAAGUACAGUGGCUGCACCAUGGGCCGCCUCCCUCCACCCCCAGCCCAGCCUGGGACUCAGAGCAAUUUUCUUCACCUUCUCUACCCCAGCACCUGCUCUGAUGGGAACAACAGAAAUAGAUGCACAUACACGCACAUGCACACACACACACCCAGAAAUGGAUGGGGUGGGGCUGGCCUGGGUUGUUGUUGGUGACUCAGUCGGUCAGAGGAAAAGGCAGCGUAAUGCAGACAAAUACAAGAUAAUAAGUCUGGAGCCAAUGAACCGAAAGAUAGGGAGAGCACAUCUUAAUAAAGAGUCACGAGUCCCUCCAGCCUGGAAAGGGAUUUAGAGGUUACUGUGGAAAAAAAAAAUUUUUUUGAAGUCGUCAGCACCUUGUACUGCCAGAGUAAACUUGGGAAUCCGGGGGUCCCUGUGUCCACCCUGUGCUCUCCUCUCCCACGGAGGGAAGCCAGCAGUGGGUGGGUCUGGUCCUUCCGUCCUGUUGGGGCCUGGCCGGGAGCAGGGGGGGUCCUUUUUCUGCUGUGGGCGAAUGCUGAUACUGUGUGCAAAGCGGGCUGCUGAGUUUGAAUGAUGGGAUCGUGUACGUGGGCACAGUCACAAGGGCUGGGGUGCGGGAAAAGACGAGCUGCGGGCUCUCAGAGUAAGGGGGCUCAUGGUGGCUGGAGAACCUGGGAAGGAAGGUGAAACGGGAGUGACUUGCAGAUGGUUGGGGUGAAUGGAUGCGUCUCAAGGGCUAAGACUGGAAGGACUCAGACAAACAGGACAGCUGACAGCCAGAGGGAAGUCUACCAAGGCAGCAGUGUGUAUUUCCAUGCUUCGUUCCCAAGACGCACGAUGCUUUAAGUAGCCAUGUUGAGACAACCUGAGGUCUGGGGGAAAGUAGACUCUGACGCCAAACACACCAGCUUUGGGUCGUAUCCUUCCCGCUGAAUUCCUGAGUCAAUGGAAUUGAUGCCUUGCUGCUCAGAGCCUCAGUCCCCUCAUCUCUAAAAAGGGGACCAGAUUGGUGGCUGAGAGGAGAUGAUGUGUCUGCUCGAGCCAAGCCUUCCACUGGCCCCGCUGGACUUCAGACGCAUGCAGCCAUGCCUGCUGAACUGGUGGGGAGGGCGGGUGGAAGAUGACUCAGGGGCAGGAUGGUGUAGAAAAGCUUCCCAGGAGGCAGGGCAAAAAGGGUCAGCUGCAGCAAAUAAUCCAGGGACAGCGGCUCUGUGCUUGGGGGCAGUAGAGAACUGAGCACAGUGUGAUGCUCGUGGCUGAAACCACACCAGCGGGCAUUUCUGAGCCCAAAGAGCAGACCGAGAUAAUAUCAACAGCAAUAACAACAGUUAGUUCACUCUUCACACUUUAAAGGUGGAUAUUAUUAUCCUCAUUUUACAGAUGAGGAAACUGAGGCACAGAGAGGUUAAGUAAUUUACGUCAGGUCACCCACCCAGUAAGUGGCAGAGCUGGGAUUCAAACCGAGGUCCCCUGGCUAAAUUGCACAUGCUCUUAACCACUGCACAUAUAUGGCUCCACUGUUAGAAAUAAAACCUCGGUAUCAAAAUGAGACUGAGAAGCAAGAACAACUCUCUCCUAGACCACGAGCUAGCUUUGGCAUCUAAAGGCUUAGGAGGGCAACCAUCAGAGGGACUCUUUGGGGCCCAAAGGGGAGGCAGAGCCACCAGGGGAGGAGAACCCUACGGCAGGAAGGACUGGUGCCCAGCAGAGCAGCAGCGGCACGCAUGAAAACUAAAGGAGGGAGUGCAUCCUCGAGGAAUCUUCAGAGACCACGGGGCGUCAGAGCUGCCUGAGGAGAAAUUUGCAUGAGGCCAAGACUGCCCAGGUAAGCACGUGGGGCCGGGGGUGCUGGGGUAUUUGGAUCGUCCAGACUGGCCAGCUUGCAAGAAACUGUAACUAUUUCCGUCUUUUUUGUGCCUUGUUACAGAGGGGCAAGAUGCAAUCUUCUUGGAGAGGGAACAGGGCUGGGGAAGUCCAUUUGCCUCUGAUUUCAAGAAUGCUUCUCUAAGGGAAAGGAGGGUUCAGGAUGCUUCGAGCAGGGGAGAGAUUUCAAGGUGACCUUGUGGAAGGAGCCGGCAUUAUGAAAUGUUUUUGAUCGAGUGGAACAAGAUAAGCUGUUCAUGUUGUGGAAAGGUUCAAAGCCCCGGACACCAGCUGAAAUAAGAAAAAUUCAAUUUCUGGCAUAAGAUUGUGCUUUUUCUGCCUUCUAGAAGACAGACACAUCCACCCCUCCCUCCUCCCCCUAAGAAAAGCAGAACGCUCCUAGGUGGUGAUCCUGACAUAAGCAGGGUUGUGAAGGCAAGGGUGCAUGGCACAGGUGAUGCUGCCCGCAGGUAUUUGGAAAUAGGACUGCUGUUUCAGACUAGAUUCUUCCAUACCACCUCUCACGUGACCAGGAUCGGGACCAGGCAGUGGCCCGGGGUUAUUUCAAUAUCCUGUUUUCUUUUGUUCUCCCACAAAAGCGAUACAGAAAACUCCUCCGUGUUUAUCUAAAACAGCACUAUCCAGUGGAACUUUCUGCCUGGAUGUAAAUGUUCUCUAUCUGUGCUGCCCAAUAUGGCAGCCGCGAGCCACACGUGGCCACUGUGCACCGGAAGUGUGGCAAGUGCAACAGAGAAACUCAAUUUAAAAUUUUACUUCAUUUUAAUUGAUUUAAAUAGCCACAUUUGGCCGGUGGUUACCUCAUGGACAGCACAGCACUGAAAGAUUCGGUGGAAAAAGCAUGAUCCUCAGGGCCAUCCAGAAUGGGCUUGAAUUCUGCCUCCACCAUUUACUAGCCGUGCGAUCUUGGGCAGAUGUCUUAACCUUUCUGACCCCCAGUCUCUUCACCUAAAAAAUGGGGAUGAUGGUAUCUACAUUGCAGGAUUCUUGUGGAAAUGAGUUACAGAUACAGAACACAGGGCAGGCCCAUAUGCAAUUAGUAAAUUGCAGCUGUAGUAACUAAAUAAUAAGCAUGUCUCGCAGCUUCAGUAUUGGCUGGGAUUUCUGAGCCAUGGACACGGGCUCUCGCCGAUGCUGAUGGGGUCAAGUGAAAUUGAGGAACAAGGGGGUUGAUCUGUAGUUUCCUGUGGAAAAGGCAUUAGAGUGGACAGUGGGUAAUGAUGAGGAGCCCGUGGGGACCAGUCAGCAGGACACGUUCAGACUCAGGGACCACCAGUGAGGCAGCAAGCGACCUGGGGCGCUGGUGGGCAGGCAGGACUGGGGAGGGCUGCCUCUCCCCAUCCCCCUGCUCUGCUCAGCACUGAUUACCAUGCAGCACGGUGGGAAGAAGCCCCUCUCCUGGAGAUGUCAGCGCCCAGAGAGGGCAAGGAGGAGCCAGCCGGUGCUGAGAUGCAGAGGCGGCAAAGGGAGGGCAGACAGAGGACGCGAGAUAAACAUGAACACGGGGAAAGACAGAGAGACGGGGAACGAGACGGAAAUAGACAGAGGCAGGGACAUGAAGGAAGAAAGGACUCAGAAGGAAAGAAUAAAGACGGACAGGUACCAGAGAGCCAGGGACGGGCAGAGAAAGAGACGGAAAGAGACAGAGACAGACAGACAGAGAGACAGGCAGAGCGAGAUCCAGAGAGACAGAGAAAAACACAAGGAACUCACACACUCCUGAAGGAGAGAUGGAGAGACAGGCUGGGAGAGACGGAGUGGACACAGAAAGAGAAAUGAGCAGAAGGAGGGAAGAGAAAGUCGAGAGGCACAGCCAGGAGAGGCCUCUGUGGAGAGGCGGGGAAGAUGCUGAGACCCCAGGAAGCAGUUCUACAGAGAAGCCCAAGAGGAGGGGAGCACAGGUUGUCCCGGAGCGCCAGGGAGGGGACGGGCGGGCACCGGGGAGGGGGCACAGGGCAGGGGAAGAAGCCUGAUGGGCUUCCCAGCAGAAGGCAGGUUGCCAAUGAACUCCCUGGGUGGGUGGGUGCUCUCUGUUCCCCAUCUUCCUCCCUUCCGGCCUCCUUACCAUCAAAAGGCGGGCCGGGGGCAGCACAGGUCUCAGGCCCCUGCUCGCCCGCUCUCCCUCCCUCUGUCUUUCUCCGAGUCGUUAAUCUUGGAGGACAGGUUGGUCUUUUAUUAGCUAUCUCCAAGGGUCAGCUUAGAAGGAUCUGAGGAGAACCGGGUUCAGAAUGUCAUUUGUCAUCGGGGGCCUGCCGGGCGGCCGCAUCGAUUCAGCCCCCUCCUGGCCUCCUAUUAACGGAGGAGGCAAAAGCUGCUCUUAACCUUCCCCUCCCUGGAGUUUCCCCUCCCCUCUCCUUCCUGUUGACGCAUCAGGGCUGCGCCCCAGGGAGACAGGCGGCCAUGGGCGGAUGGCCGGGCUGGGGGCAGGGACCGUCACUCCCGGGGAAAACUGGAGGGGUGCCCUGCUCCCUGGAAUGCCUCGCCCCCUAGACCAGCGGUUCUCAACCUUGGCUGCACGCUGGGCCUCUCCGGGAUGGUUUUGAGAAAUGCAGAUGCCUGGGCUCACCCACAGAGGUUCUGAUGGAAUUGCUCCGGGGUGAGGCUCGGGCGUUGCAUUCCUUAAAACUGUCCUUUGGGUGAUUCUAAGGAGCAACCAGGACUGAGAUCUGCUGAGCUAGAUCCUCCUCUGCCUGCCUUCUUGUCAUCAUUCAAGUCUUAGACAAGGGACACCACCUCCGAGAUGUCUUCCCUGAUAACCCUCCCUCCAAACAACUGUCUGUGACAACACCCCAUUCGUUUCCUACAGAGCACAAGUAGCUAUCUACAGUAGUCAUGAAGAGCUUGGACUCUCAAGCCGGAGCGUGUGGGUUCAGAUCCCUGAGCUGCCCCCCAACACUUAAGAGAAUUGGGGCUGGUCGUGUAUUCACGUGCCUCCAUUCCUCUCCUGUCCGAUGGGAGCGAUGACACUUACUCCCAAGAGCUCUGGCGAGGACUCAUGAGCUCAUGAACCUGCCGGGCAGAGGAGAGCGAGUGCUCGGUGCAGAGCGAGCCCUGCGUCGGUGUCUGCUACUGUUGUGACCUUGGUUUUGUUUCUCUCCCCCUUGAGUAGAUGCUCCACGACAGACCUAGGUCCUGAUGGUCUUCGUCAGCAUCCCCAUUUUACAGAUGAGGCAACUGAGGCCUGGAAAAAAAUCUUGAAAAACAAAUCUGAGUGGCUCAGCCCAAACUAGGCACUGAUUCCUCUUGGAUCAAAUGGACUCACCCUGGUGCAAUCAGCUGUGGCCACAAGGGUGGAUCAUGCGGUACAAACAGUGCUGUCUGUUGGACAGGACCUGGGACAGGUGGACACUUCCAAAGGAGACAUGGGUUAACCAGCACGUCAACUUGAUCUCAGCCUCCGGUUGUUCUUUGCUAAGGAAGUGACAUGGCCUCGUGAUCAGUGUGGCUAAGAGGAUGAUCCUUGUCUGGUUUGAAGGGUCUUUGGGGGUCCCACAUUGCUUUAUUCUAUGUUGCAAUGGUCAUGUCUUGCUUUUAUCCUAACGCCCUAAGCACUCACUCUGUUGCCACAUGACAUCUCAUCCUCUCUCUCUCUCCUUCCUCACCCAAGUGGCCCGUUGCGGUACUUCUGUCCUCUUUUCUGAAUUAAUAUUCUUUUGGGGGACUCCGUGAGGUCUAGUUAUCUGUUUGGGUGAGAAGAAUUACUUAUUCUUCGUUCAAUUCUGAGCUGUAAACAGACUCCGCGUGCCAUGGGGAAAUGUAGCCGUGGUACUUUCUGACCAAUGCCGUUGCGUGUUCCCCCAGGUGCAGAAAGAGCAUGUGAUGGGCAUUGUACUCACUCCCUCUGCAGUGUUCUGUGGCCUUAGAAAUGGGGGACUUACGAUGCAGUUACUGCCCGCCUACUGUCUAGACAUGACAACGAGAAUGUCAUGAGUACACGAGGGUAACAGGUUUGUCACAAUGCACUUUCCACCAAAUGCCACCAGUUCUUCCCUGGGGCAUGUGGAGAAUUGCACUGCCUCACCCCAUUGAGGUUAGAUGUGGGCAGGUGACUUGUCAAAUGAAAGGUGAGCAGGAAUAAAACAUAUCACUUCUGAGUGGAAACUUUAAGAGCCAGCGUGGUUUUCCAUGGACUUUUUCCUCUAUCAUGGUGCCCGCAACACCCCAGAGUGGCUGCUCCAUCUAACUGGGUCCUGGAGAGAGGAGGAGAACCCCGAGGUGACCUGUAGUUGACUUUUGUUCAAGCUGUGGCAACGGGGGGCUGUUUGUUACCACGGUGUAACUUGGCUUAUCCUAACUGAUGUAUAGGAUAUGGGUAUACACAUAAAAGGAUUUCUUUCAGGAGUUUACUCAUCUACCCAUCCAUCUGUUCAAACAUAUAUUGUGUACUUACUGUGCAAAAAGUAUUUAAAUCAAGGAGAAAUAGAAGUGAUUGAAAAAAGUGGUGUCAAAUAGGACGUGUGAUGUCUUGUGUACAUGUGUAUGUGUCUAUAUAUACAUGUCUACAAAAUAACCAGAUUGAGUACUGACUAUGAGUGAGGCAUAGUGUGAUUUGCAUGAAUUAGCUUAUGCAGUUUGCUUUUCUUUAAAUUAGAACCAUAUUACAGUUUAGGGAAAAAACCUUGGGGCUCAGAGAGGUUCUGGAACUUACACAACAUUGCAUAGCUAAUAAGUAGGAGAUUUGGGUUUCAGAUCGAAGUGUGUCUGCCUCCAAACGACUUCACCACCACGCUAUCUUCUCCCUUUUCAAAUGCUAAGAUAGUUCUGUGUUUCUCCAGAGAACCACAAGAAAGCCCAGAAAAAAUAAAAACUCUGCCCUUUCAAGUCCUUGCAGCAGCCAAGCUCUUGGGUUUGCUUUGACAGGUUGUCUUCCUUUCAAAAUCAAAAUGAGGCAGCACAGAUGGAAAUAGAGGCCAGCUGUUUGGUGGAGCAAGAUACCUGCGCGCACGCCAGCAGGGGCCGGGCUGUUAUUCCAGGAGCCCCUGGCGUCGGCGGUUCUGCUCAUGCCUCAUCCCACUGUGCGUGCAUCCGCUCGGGCUGCGCCUUCCCCAAAUAAGGGAGAAUCUCUACAAAUUGCAUGUUUUUAUGCAGACUUAGGAAAAUGUGAGGGAUUACGGUAAGAACGGACUGAUACCAUCAUUAAUCAACAACCAGGGAGAGAAAAGGAAGGGAUGAAAAUGUAGGUUCUUGUAUUAGGAGAAGAUCUGUGGGAAGAGAUUAGAAAUAUCGAGAAGCUGGAAAGUGGUUUCUUUUUUUUUGCAAAUGCUUUUCCAUUCUUGAAGUUUUAAAAGUUGUGGGGGAGUUUCCUGGCCACAGAGAGAAAGCCAAUAAAGGCAGCCCCCAAGGCAUUCAUUCGUUCAUUCAUUUGAAAAUCACUUUCUCAGUGCUCACUGUGUGCAACUGGGAUGUGAAGAGAGAAACAAAAUUUUAUGUAACAGACACUUAAAUAAAACCUACUAUGUGCCAGGCACUGCUCUAAGCAUUUUACCCGUAUUAACUCAUUUAAGGCUCACAAAAACCCAGAGAGGUAGAUACUCUUAUUAUCUCCAUUUCGCAGAAGAGGAAACUGAGGCACAGAGAAGUUUAAUUACCUUGCCCGAAGUCAUGCAGCCUUUGAGAUUUGAAGUGCGGCAGGUCUGGCUCCAACACUGUGCUCUUUAUUGCACUGCCUCUCACGGGGUCUUGGUCCUCAAGCUCACAGGUUGGUAGGGAAGAGGAACUUAGACACAAAACAGUCAUUUUAAUAAUGUGAUACCUAUUUUGAUGGAGACAUCCAAGGAGAAAGAAUUCAGUUCUGCUUGGGGACAUCGGGGAGAGCAUCACUGAGAAAGAGAUCCUUAAAUGCCAUCACGCAUUUGUUAGCCACGUGGGCAAGUGCAGGAAGGGGCCCCCUAGGUGGAGGGACCAGCUUGAGCAAAGGCACAGAGGCGAGAGGCAGCCUAGGCUGAGCAGGAAAGCGCUGAGGCAUGCAACAUGCAAAGGAGGGCAGAAGAGACAAGCAAGGAGGGUAGAUUGGGCAAAACGAGAGAGGCUCUUAUAUUCCAACUAAGGCAUUUCUGGGGUUGGGCGUCUGCCUUCUGCAAUGCUGAUACACACAGAAAAAAGCAUCAGGUUGCAUCAGGUCUCCCAGCUGUACUUUAAAAAGGUGCCUGGCAUCAGUGGGGAGGGCUGGCUGGGAAGGAGGGUAGCAGAUCUGUUCAGAGAGAAGCCUUUAGAAUCAGACAGCUCCGAGCUUGACUCUCAGCUCUCAGUUUCUACUCAUGUGACCUCAGGCAACCUACUGGACCUCCUGGAGCCUCGGCUGCCAAGUGGGUCGUUGCAAGGACCGUACAGAGUGGCUGCUGGGUCUGUUGCUGGCACGCUUUUUCUUGGAUCUGGAUGUAGGUAUACUAUUUAAGAGGAUAAUACUCUACAAGAUGAAGGGGGAAAUAUGACACUCUUGACCUGUCAUGAACAGGGUUGUUUCCCCUAUCCCAUAGUGGGAAAGAUUCAUUUGCUCUGAUCCCACACUGGGAUCCCCUCAAGACCAAAUGCAAGGUCAAGUUGCUCUGUUGUCAGCAGAGGUGGCAUGGGAAACCAACUCAACACUCUUGGCUUUAUAAUCAAGGGCUCUGAUCUCUCGCUUCUCAAACUUUAACGUGCACACAAAUCACCCCAGAUCUUGUUAAAAGGCAUCACAGGAAAAAAAAAUGUGUAACUAUUUAUGGUGAUGGAUGUUAACCAGACUUAUCGUGGAGAUCAUUUCCCAACAUAUAUAAAUAUCGAAUCAUUA